RNAcentral lists this transfer RNA (71 nucleotides) under Blastocystis sp. subtype 6. RNAcentral's name for it is "tRNA-Trp". It matches the Rfam family "tRNA". From Rfam's summary of the family: Transfer RNA (tRNA) molecules are approximately 80 nucleotides in length. Their secondary structure includes four short double-helical elements and three loops (D, anti-codon, and T loops). Further hydrogen bonds mediate the characteristic L-shaped molecular structure. tRNAs have two regions of fundamental functional importance: the anti-codon, which is responsible for specific mRNA codon recognition, and the 3' end, to which the tRNAs corresponding amino acid is attached (by aminoacyl-tRNA synthetases). tRNAs cope with the degeneracy of the genetic code in two manners: having more than one tRNA (with a specific anti-codon) for a particular amino acid; and 'wobble' base-pairing, i.e. permitting non-standard base-pairing at the 3rd anti-codon position. Lineage: Eukaryota; Bigyra; Opalinata; Blastocystidae. RNAcentral also lists the same sequence under 1 other name. The record is from RNAcentral.
AAGAGUAUAAUUUAAAGGUAAAAUAUUGGUCUCCAAAACCAAAUAUAAGGGUUCGAUUCCCUUUUCUCUUG